RNAcentral lists this transfer RNA (73 nucleotides) under Canis lupus familiaris (dog). It matches the Rfam family "tRNA". From Rfam's summary of the family: Transfer RNA (tRNA) molecules are approximately 80 nucleotides in length. Their secondary structure includes four short double-helical elements and three loops (D, anti-codon, and T loops). The record is from Rfam by way of RNAcentral. RNAcentral also lists the same sequence under 1 other name. Lineage: Eukaryota; Metazoa; Chordata; Mammalia; Carnivora; Canidae.
GCCUGGCUGGCUCAGUGAUCAGAGCAUGCGACUCUUAAUCUCAGAGUUGUGAAUUUGAGACCCAUGUUGGGUA